GCUUCUCGGGGCCCGCGGAGGACCGGGGACCGGGAAGGUGAACUGAGGCGGUCGCCCGCUCGAGGCUGCACCUGCCCUGAUCGCCCCUAAACUGUCCGGCCUAGUGGGCUUGGGACUGGGACCAACCUUGAGAUACGGGGAUGAUUAUACCCAUUGUCGUAACGAAGACAUAGUCGCUGGAAGGAUUAACAAAUGACAAAGUCCGUAAGCCUGCCACAGUGCUCAUCUGGAAUUACAAGCUUAGUACGACAAUUCUGUGUUUCAGCACGCUUAAAAGGAAGUCAUUUAUCAAAUUUUGCUGCGGGAAAUGGAUAACGUGUUGGCUCUCUGUAUUAUUCUGGAAUUUCGGAUGGCUUCUCCAGUUUGCUGCUUCCCUGGACACCAAACAUAACAUUCCCUGUUCUAGGACCUGCUUCAAGUUGGUCAUAAGACUGGCAGAAAGUCAAACCAAACUAAAUGAAUAGUUGUUGAAGUUCAUCUCACGUCCUGGAGCUGUGUGUGCUAUGGAAUAGCCUGCUGUUAUUACCAGGCAUAAUGCUGAUCAGAAUCACUGCUCUGUGGUGUUGUUCAUCAGAAUUUCAUGUUUGGAAAUUAGAUUUGGGUCUGGUUACUGUAAAAAUAGAUAUUAUGAUAAUGGAAUAUAGCCGUUAAAAUUUCUAUUGCAGGAGAAAUUAGCCAUGUAUUUAAAUGUAGGAGUAUGUUACUAAACAAUAUGUUCAAGAUGAUUCCAGUAUUGUUUAAUGUUAUACAGACAUAGACAAAUACUGGGAAAAGGCACUCAAAGUUAACCUUAAGGAAUGGAGGUACCAGUGAUUUUAUUUGACUUGUUUACUGUUCAGAAUCUUCCUAGAUGAAAUGUAUUACAUCUAUACUCAGAUAAUUUUUAAAGGAAUCUAUUUUUCAUACCAAUACCCCAGAGUCAAAAUAUGCAAAAGAUACCACUAAAAAGUGGUAAAUUAAGUCUACCUAAAAAGGUCUUAUGAUUCUCGCCACUCAAAAACCAUUGUAGAUUUUGCUCUUGUCUUGCAUGCAUCGUUUGUUUUUUUUUUUCUUUCACUUUAAAAAUUCAUGUACUAGAUGCUAGGAGUAAAUGAACGAUACAGGUGCGGCUUCUGCCCUCUCAGAACUAACUAGUUGUCUGGGGAAGAUAGAACAAGCCGACAGAAACAAUCUAGCAUGUCGCAGUCAAAAACACAGUUUCAUGCCUACUCCAUUAAAACACCUAACCCUCCUUUUUACACGUCAAAUUCCGGCUUUGGCAAGUCAGCUCACAAACACAUUGAACUCGCACGCUGGCACUCACUGUCGGCCAUUGCUUCAGCUUGAGCCACGUCCCCAUUGUCCACAAACUCAUGUUCAAUUACUAGAGUACUAGUCAGUUAUUUGGGUAUUAAUUUGCUCUUAUUUUAGAAAAAUGUCAUUGCAAAUACUAGUCAUAGGACCUGUAGGUCUCAUAAAUGUAAUUUGAAUGAUACAAAGAUGGAAAUCAUUGUGUGCCCGGAACUGAAUCUAGCCUCAGUCAGAUACUCAGACAUUCAUGAAAUGAAGUCCAGUAAACUGAGUGAAACUAAAGAAGAAACUCAGAGAACAAGUAUAAGAUCCCGAAAUAAUCAUUGUUAAAUUUUGUGGCUAAAGUUUUGGUAUGUUCAGAGAUUUUGAUCUUAAUUUUUUAGUUCUGUUAAGAAAGGAUUCCCCCU
Molecule: long non-coding RNA, 1697 nt
Organism: Leopardus geoffroyi (Geoffroy's cat)
Lineage: Eukaryota; Metazoa; Chordata; Mammalia; Carnivora; Felidae
Exons: 4
Source: RefSeq, a predicted model, not a curated record